This 1473-nucleotide ribosomal RNA is filed under the name uncultured Bordetella sp. Its description in RNAcentral is "partial 16S-23S ribosomal RNA intergenic spacer". It matches the Rfam family "Bacterial small subunit ribosomal RNA". The record is from RNAcentral. Lineage: Bacteria; Pseudomonadati; Pseudomonadota; Betaproteobacteria; Burkholderiales; Alcaligenaceae.
AUUAUGGCUCAGAUUGAACACUGGCGGGAUGCUUUACACAUGCCGGUCGAACGGCAGCACGGACUUCGGUCUGGUGGCGAGUGGCGAACAGGUGAGUAAUGUCGGAACGUGCCUAGUAGCGGGGGAUAACUACGCGAAAGCGUAGCCUAAUACCGCAUACGCCCUUCGGGGAAAGCAGGGGGACCUUCGGGCCUCGCACUAUUAGAGCAGCGAUAUCGGAUUAGCUAGUUGGUGGGGUAACGGCUCACCAAGGCGACGAUCCGUAGCUGGUUUUGAGAGGACGACCAACCACGCAGGACUGAGACACGGCCCAGACUCUACGGGGAGGCAGCAGUGGGGAAUUUUGGACAGUGGGAAACCUAAUCCAGCCAUCCCGCGUGUGCGAUGAAGGCCUUCAGGUUGUAAAGCACUUUUGGCAGAAGAAGCAGCGCUGAGAUCGUACCGUGCAACUGACGUACCUGCAGAAUAAGCACCGGCUAACUACGUGCCAGCAGCCACUUUGAUGACCGUAAGUGCAAGCGUGUCGGAAUUACCUGGGCAUAAAGCGUGCGCAGGCGGUUCGGAAAGAAAGAUCUUAAAUCCCAGAGCUUAACUUUGGAACUGCAUUUUUAACUACCGAGAGCUAAGUGUGUCAGAGGAGGUGGAAUUCCGCGUGUAGCAGUGAAAUGCGUAGAUAUGCGGAGGAACACCGAUGGCGAAAACAACCUCUGGGAUAACACUGACGCUCAUGCACGAAAGCGUGGGAGCAAACAGGAUUGUUAACACACAGUGAUCUACACGCACUUCCUAAACGAUGUCAAAACUGGCUGUGGACCUUCGGGCCUUGGUAGCGCAGCUAACACAACGUGAGAGUUGGCCGCCUGGGAGAUACGGUCGCGAAAUUAAACUCAAAAGGAAUUGACGGGGACCCGCACAAGCGGGGUGGAUGAUGUGGAUUAAUUCGAUGCAACGCGAAAAGCACUUACCUACCCUUGACGCAUGUCUGGAAUCCCAGAAGAGAUUUGGGAGUGCUCGCAAGAAGAACGGAACCUGGUGCUGCAUGGCUGUCGUCAGCUCGUGUCGUGAGAUGUUGGAGUUAAGUCCCGCAACGAGCGCAACCCUUGUCAUUAGUUACGAAAGGGCACUCUAAUGAGACUCACUGGUGUAAACCGGAGGAAGGUGGGGAUGACGUCAAGUCCUCAUAACCCUUAUGGGUAGGGCUUCACACGUCAUACAAUGGUCGGGACAGAGGGUCGCCAACCCGCGAGGGAGUCAAUCCCAGAAACCCGAUCGUAGUCCGGAUCUGAUCUGCAACUCGACUGCGUGAAGUCGGAAUCGCUAGUAAUCGCGGAUCAGCAUGUCGCGGUGAAUACGGGUCUUGUACCACCGCCGUCACCAUGGGAUUGGGUUUUACCAGAAGUAGUUAGCCUAACCGUAAGGAGGGCAGUUACCACGGUAAGUUCGCUGACUGGGGGUCGUCGUAUUUCUGAGUAA